Molecule: long non-coding RNA, 1521 nt
Organism: Hemicordylus capensis (graceful crag lizard)
Lineage: Eukaryota; Metazoa; Chordata; Lepidosauria; Squamata; Cordylidae
Exons: 2
Source: RefSeq, a predicted model, not a curated record
AGUUCUAUAGAUUAGGGUUAGGCCUUUCCUAUCCAAAGUGUGCUUCACCAAUCAAUGCUUAGUAUUUACUACUACUACGCCAACAACAAAUAUUUAUAUACUGCACUUCAACAACAUUCUCAAAGUAGUUUAAAUAGAAAAAUAAAUGAUACAUAAAUAAGAUGGUCCCCUGUCCUGAAAGGGCUCACAAUCUAAAAAGAAACAUAAGGUAGACACUAGCAACAGCCACUGGAGGGAUGCUGUGCUGGGGCUGGAUAGGGCCAGUUGCUCUCCUCCUGCUAAAUAUAAGAGAAUCAUCACUUUACUCACAGUAGUAGGCGAGAAAGGGAACCCCCAUGAGUAAUGAGGUUCUCCUGUAUGUAUGUGUGUCUAUCUAUCUAUCUAUCUAUCUAUCUAUCUAUCUAUCUAUCUAUCUAUCUAUCUCAUAUACUGACCAGGGGACUAGACUUGAAGACCUCCAUGGCCUCUUCCAACUGUCCCUAGCUUGAUUGUCUGUUUUCAAAGAAGGAAGGCCAGAAGGCAGGCAGGUUAGGGAGAUGCUGCUUUAAGAGGGAAUGGAGGAAGAGGCAAGACAUCUGAAUAAAAUAUAUAAUGAAAUCUCAGCCAAACGCCCCAAGCUCCCACCUAGUCAGAAAUUGUAAGCAGCUCUCACAGUAGGAAAGGCAGAAAAUGUGUUAACCAGACACGAGAACAGGGGAAAGCAAGCACCAGACAUCAUCAGCUGGCAACAAAGCCAACCUCUUAAGUGAAAACAUAUGAUUGCUUCUUCUGGAGUGUUAAAUGUGAAGAAAAUCCAGCCCUGAGACUUAAAAAUGAUUAUCUGGGGAGAGUGCCUUGCUACAACCUUCUCUGUCCAUGUCAAAGACACCCUUUUCCUAGCAUGCCAGACAAGCUAUGGGGUCUCCUGGGUCUCUAUGCUUCUCUAUCUGAACAAUGGCUGUCUUGCAGCAUUGUCCCACUGGGAGAGUAAGCUUCCCUUGGCCUUUGUACAGUAAUUCCUGUCUGCUGCUUUCUUGUCCUUCCAGAGGGAAUAGUGGUUGUAUAUGUGUAUUCCAGACUAUGCAGGGCUGCUUAGAGCUGAAAUGUUGGCUAAACAAUGCAUUUCUUUCCAUCUUAGGCACUGGUCUCUGUAGGACUGAACACAAGCUGACAAUGCAGUUCCUCUAGCCAGAGAUGCAUUUAUUUACACUGAAGGACCACCCAUGACUCAAAAGGCUGUGAAACCAAAAUAAGAAAUUCCACACAAGUCUGAUCCAUGGUUUUGGUCAUACAGAUGCAUUUUACGUCAACUAUCUGCUCUCAGAUCAGAAGGAGGAAGUAACAUUUAAAGUUGCUAAGUUCUGUGAGGCAGCUAAGAAGGCUAGACAACAGAUGGUAAACCAGAUUAUCCAAACGGGAAACUGCUGAUUAGGAUGAGUCCAUGUUCCUGAUUAUAUUAUUUAUAUAUUAUUACUAUAUUAUGUGUAUUAUUAUGUAUGUAAAUUUUGGUCUAUAACCGUAAAUAAACAUGAUGAUGAUGAA